This is a long non-coding RNA of Nematostella vectensis (starlet sea anemone), 650 nucleotides long. RefSeq lists it as uncharacterized. The transcript has 2 exons. The record is from RefSeq and is a predicted model, not a curated record. Lineage: Eukaryota; Metazoa; Cnidaria; Anthozoa; Actiniaria; Edwardsiidae.
UACAAAUCAAUUCAAUGGUUCUCAGCUUCUUAGGUGAGUAGUUAGAUCAGUAUGUAAAUUCUUUUUACACAAUUCUUAGAAAUCGGGGCUUUCCCCGAAAGUGAUUAUAUUGCCUAAUAACUGCUUGGGUAAGUCCCCAAUACGCUCAUACUUCUACGGAGAAAUGACAAGGAGUAACUUUAUUUGAGAGCCAUGGAUAGGGAACAAUGUAGAUACAACACUGAGUGCUACCGAAGGAACCCUGAGCAUCUGAGAAACCGAAGCCAUUCCCACUGUAAGUAAAUGUGGGGUGAAAACUUUAAACUAUAUCUAUAGUGAAUAAUAAAGGAGACAGUUGUUAGAGCCAUCAAGAUGCAGCAAAUAGCAAAAUAAAAUAAUAGGUGACUUGCACAUGAAAAUGCAAAAAAAUAUUACUUUUUGAGUGCCAAAUUUAAGCCAAAAUAGACAAAGAAAUUGCUACGGUCAUAUCAGGCUAGUGAGCCACAAAAACUAAUAUAUCAAUGAAAAUAAGUCUUUUUUGGUGGAUUUUAAAAGGCUGAAUAACUUGCUUUUUGCUGUUGUUACACGAGUUCGUAACCUAAAUUGCUCUGUGUAGCAUAGCUGUCAACCCAACUUGGACAGAAAUCUUGUGAAAUACAGUAAUGUGAAAA